GCCGAGAUGUUGGAACUGGCAGACAAUAUGGACUUAAAAUCCAUUGGGCCAAAAGCCCGUGUGGGUUCGAAUCCCACUCUCGGCACCA
This 88-nucleotide transfer RNA is filed under the name Candidatus Omnitrophota bacterium. RNAcentral describes it as "Candidatus Omnitrophica bacterium tRNA-Leu". It matches the Rfam family "tRNA". Rfam says of the family: Transfer RNA (tRNA) molecules are approximately 80 nucleotides in length. Their secondary structure includes four short double-helical elements and three loops (D, anti-codon, and T loops). The record is from RNAcentral. Lineage: Bacteria; Pseudomonadati; Candidatus Omnitrophota.